CCUANGGGAGGCAGCAGUCGAGAAUCUUCCGCAAUAGACGAAAGUCUGACGGAGCGACGCCGCGUGGAGGAUGAAGGCCUUCGGGUUGUAAACUCCUGUCACCCGUUAUGAAUUGCAACGUGCUAAUAGUACGUUGAGUGACAAAGGCGGGAGAGGAAGCACCGGCUAACCCUGUGCCAGUAGCCGCGGUAAGACAGGGGGUGCAAGCGUUGCUCGGAAUCAUUGGGCGUAAAGCGCACGUAGGCGGUCUUGUAAGUCGGGUGUGAAAGCCCUCAGCCUAACUGAGGAACUGCGCCCGAUACUGCAAGGCUAGAGGAUGGGAGGGGAGAGUGGAAUUCCUGGUGGAGCGGUGAAAUGCGUAGAUAUCAGGAGGAAUACCAGUGGCGAAGGCGACUCUCUGGCCCAUUCCUGACGCUGAGGUGCGAAAGCUAGGGGAGCAAACGGGAUUAGAUACCCUANUANUC
Molecule: ribosomal RNA, 464 nt
Filed under: uncultured bacterium
Lineage: Bacteria
Description: bacterial SSU rRNA
Rfam family: Bacterial small subunit ribosomal RNA
Source: RNAcentral